UCGAGGGGUAUAGGUUUUCGGACCUAGAGACCGGCGCACGGGUGCGUAACGCGUAUGCAAUCUACCUUUUACAGAGGGAUAGCCCAGAGAAAUUUGGAUUAAUACCUCAUAGUAUUAUUGAAUGGCAUCAUUUAAUAAUUAAAGUCACAACGGUAAAAGAUGAGCAUGCGUCCCAUUAGCUUGUUGGUAAGGUAACGGCUUACCAAGGCAACGAUGGGUAGGGGUCCUGAGAGGGAGAUCCCCCACACUGGUACUGAGACACGGACCAGACUCCUACGGGAGGCAGCAGUGAGGAAUAUUGGUCAAUGGGCGCAAGCCUGAACCAGCCAUGCCGCGUGCAGGAUGAAGCAUCUAUGGUGUGUAAACUGCUUUUGUACGAGAAGAAACACUCCUUCGUGAAGGAGCUUGACGGUAUCGUAAGAAUAAGGACCGGCUAACUCCGUGCCAGCAGCCGCGGUAAUACGGAGGGUCCAAGCGUUAUCCGGAAUCAUUGGGUUUAAAGGGUCCGUAGGCGGUUUUGUAAGUCAGUGGUGAAAGCCCAUCGCUCAACGGUGGAACGGCCAUUGAUACUGCAAGACUUGAAUUAUUAGGAAGUAACUAGAAUAUGUAGUGUAGCGGUGAAAUGCUUAGAGAUUACAUGGAAUACCAAUUGCGAAGGCAGGUUACUACUAAUGGAUUGACGCUGAUGGACGAAAGCGUGGGUAGCGAACAGGAUUAGAUACCCUGGUAGUC
Molecule: ribosomal RNA, 732 nt
Filed under: uncultured Bacteroidota bacterium
Lineage: Bacteria; Pseudomonadati; Bacteroidota
Description: bacterial SSU rRNA
Rfam family: Bacterial small subunit ribosomal RNA
Source: RNAcentral